CGGGACGGGUGAGUAAUGUCUGGGAAACUGCCUGAUGGAGGGGGGUAACUACUGGAAACGGUAGCUAAUACCGCAUAACGUCGCAGACCAAAGAGGGGGACCUUCGGGCCUCUUGCCAUCGGAUGUGCCCAGAUGGGAUUAGCUAGUAGGUGGGGUAACGGCUCACCUAGGCGACGAUCCCUAGCUGGUCUGAGAGGAUGGCCAGCCACACUGGAACUGAGACACGGUCCAG
RNAcentral lists this ribosomal RNA (232 nucleotides) under uncultured bacterium. Its description in RNAcentral is "partial 16S ribosomal RNA". It matches the Rfam family "Bacterial small subunit ribosomal RNA", at positions 100 to 334 of the family's 1533-position model. The record is from RNAcentral.